AUGUGGAUAGGCAGCGCCACUGCCGCCUCCGCCUCUGACGUGCUGAGGCACUACGGGCGGUGCUACUGGGAGCUCUCCAAAGCCCGCCUUAGGUGCACUGUCGCCUCCGCCUCCAACGUGCUGCGCCACUACGGGCGGUGCUACUGGGAGCUCUCCAAAGCCCGCCUCAGUGCACUUGUUUUGGCAACAUCGGGGGCUGGAUAUGUGCUCGGGAGUGGCAGCAUUGUAGACAUUGCUGGACUUUGCUACACAUGCACUGGUACCAUGAUGGUUGCAGCAUCUGCCAACACUUUCAACCAGGUGUUCGAGGUAAAGAAUGAUGCUAAAAUGAAAAGGACAAUGCGACGGCCCCUACCAUCAGGGCGUAUUAGUCCUGUGCAUGCUGCCAUGUGGGCUACAAGUGUCGGAGCUGCAGGAACAACAUUAUUGGUUUGCAAGGCUAAUUACUUAGCUGCUGGGCUUGCAGCAUCCAAUCUCAUCAUGUAUGCAUUUGUAUACACUCCACUGAAGCAAAUACACCAUGUCAAUACAUGGGUGUACCGAAUGCUCUCUUUUGCUGAUCCUAGUGGUAAAAGAACUGCAUGGGUAUCACUCAAGAAUUGCCUCUAUAUGUUGCCGUUGGGUUACUUGCAUAUAAGUGUAAGUAGGGGUCUAACAUCUGGAUGGUUCUGUUUUGAAGCAUCACUUCUAACGACGGGCCUUACCAUUGGAGCUUUAUCAUUUGUACUGGAUCCUACUCACAAGAGUGCAAGAAGAAUGUUCCAUGGUAGCCUUUUGUAUCUUCCUGCUUUAAUGGCUGGACUUAUAUUGCAUCGGCUGCCUAACCAAUGA
This 831-nucleotide ribosomal RNA is filed under the name Triticum aestivum (bread wheat). RNAcentral describes it as "partial small subunit ribosomal RNA". The record is from RNAcentral. Lineage: Eukaryota; Viridiplantae; Streptophyta; Magnoliopsida; Poales; Poaceae.